RNAcentral lists this non-coding RNA (781 nucleotides) under Pongo abelii (Sumatran orangutan). The record is from RNAcentral. Lineage: Eukaryota; Metazoa; Chordata; Mammalia; Primates; Hominidae.
AACAUGGAAUUAACAGGACUCAUGGGUGUAUUCAUAAAAGCAACUGAAUUUUUAGUCUUCUGCCGUCCCGUUAAUAAUCUGUUCCAUGAGGAUAGUUCUUCCUCUUCCACCGAAUGAAACUGAGGCAGUCCCAUAACUUUUUUAUUCCCUCAGGUAAUAGAAAAUCCUGUUACUUUAAGAGGAAAAACCCUGCUCUUAAUUCAGUAAUUCAGAUCUUGUCCCCUUCCCCAGCAGGGGCCUCCUAUGGACAGAAGUGCGGGCAAGGAGCUUUGUUCCUCCCCGAUGUCACCCUCCCACAGCCCACCUGCUAGCAGGCAAGAGAGUGGUGGAGGCCGGCAGGAAGGCAUGUACUGAACUGGGCCUCUGGUGGAAUGGCGUCACCCAUGCUGGGCUUGACUCUUACCAUCGGGGUCCCGCCAACCCUUCAGUGAGACUUUUUCAGAAGAAUCCCUUUUAAAAUGACCUCAAGCUGACCUUCCUGCUGCAGAUUCCACAUAUGGUAUCUGAGACUCACACAGUGUGGUUGGAAGAUAGCACAGUGACCUCCCAGGCACAGCCCCCUGCCAGCCCUCCACUGGCUGCCCUAGGAUGCUGGCCUUCCUCCGAUGGGAGUCGGGCCCAGUCUGCUGUCAGCCAGGAGCAGCCAGCAAGCUCCCUGGGAGGCCUGGAGGAGCCCUUCUCACUCAGCUUGGUGUUCGAUGCCAGUGCCCCCACCCAUUGUGGGGUGAGGGUGGGACUCUCAGCACAGCCCUGUCCAAAUAAAUCCUCUAAAGCCCUCUUC